RNAcentral lists this ribosomal RNA (458 nucleotides) under uncultured bacterium. Its description in RNAcentral is "partial 16S ribosomal RNA". It matches the Rfam family "Bacterial small subunit ribosomal RNA", at positions 338 to 795 of the family's 1533-position model. The record is from RNAcentral.
GCUACGGGAGGCUGCAGUGAGGAAUAUUGGUCAAUGGGCGAGAGCCUGAACCAGCCAAGUCGCGUGAGGGAGUACUGCCCUAUGGGUUGUAAACCUCUUUUGUCGGGGAGCAAAAGCCGGACGUGUCCGGCUGUGAGAGUACCCGAAGAAAAAGCAUCGGCUAACUCCGUGCCAGCAGCCGGCGUGAUAAGGAGGAUGCGAGCGUUAUCCGGAUUUAUUGGGUUUAAAGGGGGCGCAAGUGGAUUUUUAAGUUAUCGGUCAAAUCGUGGGGCUCAACCCCAUCCAGCCGUUGAAACUGGGGAUCUAGAGUGUGCGAGAGGUAUGCGGAAGGCGUGGUGUAGCGGUGAAAUGCAUAGAUAUCACGCAGAACCCCGAUUGCGAAGGCAGCAUACCGGUGCACAACUGACACUCAGGCACGAAAGCGUGGGUAUCGAACAGGAUUAGAUACCCCUGUAGUC